Molecule: unclassified non-coding RNA, 603 nt
Filed under: Hevea brasiliensis (rubber tree)
Lineage: Eukaryota; Viridiplantae; Streptophyta; Magnoliopsida; Malpighiales; Euphorbiaceae
Source: RNAcentral
GCGAGACGAGCAAUGCCUAAUGCUUCCUCACCAGAAGAAGCAAAUCAAGUAAUGCGUGGAAAUUGGCUUCAAGCAAUUCAACAACAUCAUCUACAGCAUUCUGGAAAUUCCAUGAUAAGUGACAUUCUAGAUAUUGGAUGCUCUGUAGGUGUCACCACAAGAUUUCUUGCUGACAACUUUCCUUUGGCAAAAGUCACUGGGCUGAUCUGUCUCCUUACUUUCUUUCCGUAGCUCAAUUCAAGGAAAAGAAGAGAGGCCCAAGAAAGAAUCCGAUCAACUGGAUACAUGCUAAUGGGGAAGACACAGGCCUGCCCUCCAAAUCAUAUGACCUCGUUUCUAUUGCAUAUGUGCUCCAUGAAUGCCCUGAAAGAGCAAUAGUUAAUAUACUGAGGGAAGCAUUUCGGCUACUUCGACCUGGAGGCAUGCUAGCUUUGACAGAUCAGGCGCCUGAAUCGAAGAUCCUUCAGGAAUUGCCUCCAGUUCUGUUCACAUUAUUGAAGAGCACUGAGCCAUUUUUAGAUGAAUACUAUUUGACUGAUCUAGAAGGAAGACUGAGGGAAGCAGGAUUUGUGAAUAUACAAUCAGUUCUUACUAGUCCAAGGC